AUUGAACGCUGGCGGCAGGCCUAACACAUGCAAGUCGAACGGUAACAGGAAGAAGCUUGCUUCUUUGCUGACGAGUGGCGGACGGGUGAGUAAUGUCUGGGAAACUGCCUGAUGGAGGGGGAUAACUACUGGAAACGGUAGCUAAUACCGCAUAAUGUCGCAAGACCAAAGAGGGGGACCUUCGGGCCUCUUGCCAUCGGCUGUGCCCAGAUGGGAUUAGCUAGUAGGUGGGGUAACGGCUCACCUAGGCGACAAUCCCUAGCUGGUCUGAGAGGAUGACCAGCCACACUGGAACUGAGACACGGUCCAGACUCCUACGGGAGGCAGCAGUGGGGAAUAUUGCACAAAGGGCGCAAGCCUGAUGCAGCUAUGCCGCGUGUAUGAAGAAGGCCUUCGGGUUGUAAAGUACUUUCAGCGGGGAGGAAGGGAGUAAAGUUAAUACCUUUGCUUAUUGACGUUACCCGCAGAAGAAGCACCGGCUAACUCCGUG
RNAcentral lists this ribosomal RNA (490 nucleotides) under uncultured bacterium. Its description in RNAcentral is "partial 16S ribosomal RNA". It matches the Rfam family "Bacterial small subunit ribosomal RNA", at positions 30 to 507 of the family's 1533-position model. The record is from RNAcentral.